Molecule: long non-coding RNA, 367 nt
Filed under: Androctonus crassicauda
Lineage: Eukaryota; Metazoa; Arthropoda; Arachnida; Scorpiones; Buthidae
Source: RNAcentral
AAAGGAUUAAAAAUUUUGUCUUUGUUCUGAAAAUGAAUCUAAAAUUUAAGCUCAGAAAAAAUGCUAUAGCAGAACUUUAUUAUUCAUGCUUUUAUUAUUGUUGUUUUCACUUUGAAUGUUCACGACUAUUCAUAGGGACUACACACAAAGAUUUAAUUGCUACCUCAUGCUAUAUUUGCACUACACAAUAUCUCCGUGUAAUUUGCUUGAAUUAUGUUGCAUAUUCCUCAAGAAUUUGAGUUCCAGUGUGUAAAUACAUUAUAAAUGCAGAGCAUUUUUUGUCUCCUUACAUUAAGGACCAUUAUCCUUUGAAUACUAUUCAAAUCUACUUGCUAUUAUUUUGACAUAUAAUAAAACAGCUCAAUUA